Molecule: ribosomal RNA, 990 nt
Filed under: Cribrostomoides sp. PS231
Lineage: Eukaryota; Foraminifera; Textulariida; Trochamminidae
Description: bacterial SSU rRNA
Rfam family: Eukaryotic small subunit ribosomal RNA
Source: RNAcentral
GGGGCACCACAAGAACGCGUGGAGCAUGUGGCUUAAUUUGACUCAACGCGGGAAAUCUUACCGGGUCCGGACACACUGAGGAUUGACAGGCAAUAUUAAUACUUUGCUUCGGCAUUGUAUUAUGUUAAAUAUGCUAGUCCUUUCAUGAUUAUGUGAUAGGUGGUGCAUGGCCGUUCUUAGUUCGUGGAGUGAUCUGUCUGCUUAAUUGCGUUUCACUAAGGGCCUAUAAAUUUACGUAUGUUGUAUCGCACUUUGACCCCUUUCUUUAAUUAGAAAGCGCGUGUCUUAGUUUCGCUUUGCUCAUACAAUUAGGUCCUGAAAGCAACGAACGUGACCGCAACCUCUUGUUGCCUUUAUACCAAACAUGUUUAUUCAUUUUUUAAUGUUCAUUCAUGAAAAAAGGCUUUUUAAACUAGAGGGACCGCUGUUACUUUCUUAAACCAGAGGAAGGUUGCGGCAAUAACAGGUCUGUGAUGCCCUUAGAUGUUCCGGGCUGCACACGUGCUACAAUGAUUAUUGCAGUGAGCAUCUCAUUUUUACACACCGCAUGCGCGAGUCCAUUUAUUCACCUUCGGGUGUUUUAAAUGUGUACCUCUGCGCGCGGUAAAGCCUGCUUCGAAAGUAAGUGGGUAAUCAAUUAGAAGUAAUGAUUUCCUUUUUUAGCACACAUAUAUACGGCGUCUAUGCCCGGGUUACCUUGUUGUAGCUUUUGUGUGUAUAGAUGUUUUUUCCGUAUGUGCGAUUGUCAAUUCAUGGUGGGGACAGACCAUUGUUAAUUGUUGGUCUCGGUCUUAACUAGGAAUGCCUUGUACGGGUCUUUGGUUCAACAAACCACCCGGAAUACGUCCCUGCCCUUUGUACACACCGCCCGUCGCUCUUACCGAUGGACUUCUCUGUGAGUUUGAGGGACUGGGAACGCAGGAAUUUAUUUCUGCACACCUAUGGAAACUUAAACGAACAGUGUGGUCUAAAGGAAAGAGAAGUCGUACA